UAAUUCAUUAAAAAAAAUUCAAUUUAAUUAAUACACAAUUCAUAACUGCAAUUAUCAUGCUCUGAAAUAAUUCAAUUAUAUUCUUCUGCUAAGAUUAUUAUCCAAGAAUAACUAUGUAUAAUGCAUGAACUAUAAUUCUACCUUCAGCAGCACAAUUCUAACCCUUUUUAUUCGGUUAAUUAUUGUAAUUAUCAGCCUAGACCUCAUCAAGGCCAGUGUACAUCUCUUUCAUGUUUUUAUUUCCUAUAAGUCUGUAUUCAAUUUUGCAAUUAACAGCUGUGAAUUAGAGUGGCAGACACAGAUGCGAGUGAUUUGCACCAUCUUUUUACUUCUUAAGAGAAACCAGAACAACAUUCGUAGUUUCUUAAGAACAGCAAAAAUUCUUAAAUGCUACAUUCCAAGAUUAUAACAAGAUGGUAAAAAAAGACAAAGGAUUGCAGACAACACAAUAGUUUAGGUUCUUAUGCAGUUUUAUUUUUUUCAUAUGUUUUAUUUUUUACUAUAGCAAAUUGCACCAUUUCGGCGCAUCAAACCGAUCUUUUCUAUUUAUCUUUAGUUAACCUAUUAGACUAGUGACCUCGAUACAGAUUUUCGAUCGUGUUAGCUUCAAACAUGGGUAUGUAUCAUUGUAUUUCCACGUAAGUUAGAAUAAAUUACAAAUAUCGAUUUUUGCACAGAAGCUACUUGCAUUUUUUAAAGUUUAAUCUUGUUGUGAUAUUAUUUAUUCAAAAGCAUACCCGAAAAAUAGCUUUCUGGCAAGAAAAAAAACCACUGUAAUGUUAUUUUUUACGAACAAUUUUGAACGAUAUUAAAAUUGAUUUCUUGGCAUUUUGUUUUUUAUGGAAGAAACCAUGCC
RNAcentral lists this long non-coding RNA (856 nucleotides) under Androctonus crassicauda. Lineage: Eukaryota; Metazoa; Arthropoda; Arachnida; Scorpiones; Buthidae. The record is from RNAcentral.